RNAcentral lists this unclassified non-coding RNA (240 nucleotides) under soil metagenome. RNAcentral describes it as "partial contains 5.8S ribosomal RNA, internal transcribed spacer 2, and large subunit ribosomal RNA". The record is from RNAcentral.
AACCUAGCACACCUGCGGUGUGUACCUGCGGAGGGAUCAUUACUGAAGCGCCUUGGGGAUGUUGCUGGCCUUGUUUUUUUCUUACAAGGCAAAUGUGCACUCCUCGGACAUUUCAAAAAAAUUUCCAACACAACCUCAUGUGCACUUCUUGUAGGAAAUGGCCUCCCUCCCAAAACUCCCCUCCCCUAGGGGGGGUUUGGGUCACAACGCGGGUUGGUGCUUCCUAUGUACCCUUUUCAU